Molecule: ribosomal RNA, 466 nt
Filed under: uncultured bacterium
Lineage: Bacteria
Description: partial 16S ribosomal RNA
Rfam family: Bacterial small subunit ribosomal RNA
Source: RNAcentral
GAUGAACGCUGGCGGCGUGCUUAACACAUGCAAGUCGAACGAUGAAGCCCAGCUUGCUGGGUGGAGUAGUGGCGAACGGGUGAGUAACACGUGAGUAACCUGCCCUUAACUCUGGGAUAAGCCUGGGAAACUGGGUCUAAUACCGGAUAGGAGCGUCCACCGCAUGGUGGGUGUUGGAAAGAUUUAGCGGUUUUGGAUGGACUCGCGGCCUAUCAGCUUGUUGGUGAGGUAAUGGCUCACCAAGGCGACGACGGGUAGCCGGCCUGAGAGGGUGACCGGCCACACUGGGACUGAGACACGGCCCAGACUCCUACGGGAGGCAGCAGUGGGGAAUAUUGCACAAUGGGCGAAAGCCUGAUGCAGCGACGCCGCGUGAGGGAUGACGGCCUUCGGGUUGUAAACCUCUUUCAGUAGGGAAGAAGCGAAAGUGACGGUACCUGCAGAAGAAGCACCGGCUAACUACGUG